Molecule: long non-coding RNA, 903 nt
Filed under: Theobroma cacao (cacao)
Lineage: Eukaryota; Viridiplantae; Streptophyta; Magnoliopsida; Malvales; Malvaceae
Description: long non-coding RNA (TCAC_LNC001963)
Source: RNAcentral
CCAAAUAACUGAGAAGGUUUAAGUUUAUAACCUUGCUUUCUAGGAUGCAACUCCGAAAUUUACUUCUAGAUGCAAUUGACAGUCUACUGCCUAUUUUGAGCUUGAAAAAUGUAUAGGAAGAAGGGGUGAGAUUAUAAAAUCCCAGUGAGUAAACAGACAUCAUCAAAAUAAUCUAAAGUCGAGUAAUAGGAGACAAUUAAAAUAAUUCAUCCCAACCCAUAUAAAUAAUUGGAUUUCAUCCAAUUACUCAACAUGGCUUAUGUACUUUUCAAAAACUUGGCCCUUGCCAAAAAUCCAUUCUCGGGGAUACCCCGUAAAGGCAUCUUACCGAGACCGCCAAGGCUGUUUAUUGUCACACACACAAACACAUUUCACCUCUGACAACACAGUCGUUCCUCGAGGUUGGCUGAGUUCCAGUUUCACGUGGUGGCCAAUGUGAAGUGUACUCAAAUCCUACCUCGGGAGUUAUCCUACGCGCCUCUCCAAUCAAGGUAAGCUCAAUAAUUGAGAACCAUGCCCCUCUAAUUAGGCUGGUCCACGGAACCCCCGUCACUGUAGUGCCCACUUUAUAAUCCACCAACCAAUAAAAUCACAAUAGUAUGACAUGGCUCACUUAACACAUUCAAGGUAAAUCAAAGCAGUUCACAUAUUCUUUAAAUCAUAAAAAUAACCAGUCAUACCUACAUUUAUCAUAAGCCAUUUAAUGUAAAAUCAUGGAUAAACAACACAAUCAUAGUAUAGAUCUCCAAUUACUUUAUUUUUGAAAUCAUUAUUAAAUUUUUAAAAAUUUUAUAAAAUUAUUUUAUAAAAUCCCAUUUUCCCAUAAAACACAAUAAUUUUCCAAUUAAACCAUUUUUCCAUAAAAUCACACAAUUAAAUAAAUCUACUCUAGAUAAUUAAGAC